UCCUACGCGCGGCAGCAGUGGGGAAAUUUGGACAAUGGGCGCAAGCCUGAUCCAGCUAUUCCGCGUGUGGGAUGAAGGCCCUCGGGUUGUAAACCACUUUUGUAGAGAACGAAAAGACACCUUUUAAUAAAGGGUGUUGCUGACGGUACUCUAAGAAUAAGCACCGGCUAACUACGUGCCAGCAGCCGCGGUAAUACGUAGGGUGCGAGCGUUAAUCGGAAUUACUGGGCGUACAGGGUGCGCAGGCGGUUGAGGAAGACAAGUGGGAAAUUCCCGAGCUUAACUCGGGAA
This 291-nucleotide ribosomal RNA is filed under the name uncultured bacterium. RNAcentral's name for it is "partial 16S ribosomal RNA". It matches the Rfam family "Bacterial small subunit ribosomal RNA", at positions 337 to 620 of the family's 1533-position model. The record is from RNAcentral.